UAACAAGGUCUCCGUUGGUGAACCAGCGGAGGGAUCAUUACCGAGUUAUACAACUCCCAAACCCACUGUGAACCUUACCCCAGUUGCCUCGGCGGGAACGCCCCGGCCGCCGGCCCCCGCGCCGGCGCCGGGCCCAGGCGCCCGCCGCAGGGACCCCAAACUCUCUUGCAUUACGCCCCCCCGGGCGGGAUUUUGUUUCUCUGAGUGCACAAGCAAAACAAAUGAAUCAAAACUUUCAACAACGGAUCUCUUGGUUCUGGCAUCGAUGAAGAACGCAGCGAAAUGCGAUAAGUAAUGUGAAUUGCAGAAUUCAGUGAAUCAUCGAAUCUUUGAACGCACAUUGCGCCCGCCAGCAUUCUGGCGGGCAUGCCUGUUCGAGCGUCAUUUCAACCCUCGAGCCCCCCCGGGGGCCUCGGUGUUGGGGGACGGCACACCAGCCGCCCCCGAAAUGCAGUGGCGACCCCGCCGCAGCUCUCCCCUGCGUAGUAGCACACACCUCGCACCGGAGCGCGGAGGCGGUCACGCCGUUAAACGCCCAACUUUCCAAGAGUUGACCUCGGAUCAGGUAGGAAUACCCGCUGAACUUAAGCAUAUCAAUAG
Molecule: ribosomal RNA, 600 nt
Filed under: Cordyceps sp. NHJ7449.1
Lineage: Eukaryota; Fungi; Ascomycota; Sordariomycetes; Hypocreales; Cordycipitaceae
Description: eukaryotic LSU rRNA
Rfam family: 5.8S ribosomal RNA (bases 231-384)
Source: RNAcentral